This 253-nucleotide ribosomal RNA is filed under the name uncultured bacterium. RNAcentral's name for it is "partial 16S ribosomal RNA". It matches the Rfam family "Bacterial small subunit ribosomal RNA", at positions 524 to 776 of the family's 1533-position model. The record is from RNAcentral.
UACGUAGGGUGCAAGCGUUGUCCGGAAUUAUUGGGCGUAAAGAGCUCGUAGGCGGUCUGUCGCGUCGGCUGUGAAAACCCGGGGCUCAACCCCGGGCCUGCAGUCGAUACGGGCAGACUAGAGUGUGGUAGGGGAGACUGGAAUUCCUGGUGUAGCGGUGAAAUGCGCAGAUAUCAGGAGGAACACCGGUGGCGAAGGCGGUUCUCUGGGCCUGUACUGACGCUGAGGAGCGAAAGCGUGGGGAGCAAACAGG